This 429-nucleotide ribosomal RNA is filed under the name Acidobacteriota bacterium. Its description in RNAcentral is "Acidobacteria bacterium partial 16S ribosomal RNA". It matches the Rfam family "Bacterial small subunit ribosomal RNA", at positions 355 to 776 of the family's 1533-position model. Lineage: Bacteria; Pseudomonadati; Acidobacteriota. The record is from RNAcentral.
UGGGGAAUUUUGGACAAUGGGGGAAACCCUGAUCCAGCCAUCCCGCGUGUGCGAUGAAGGCCUUCGGGUUGUAAAGCACUUUUGGCAGGAAAGAAACGUCAUGGGUUAAUACCCCGUGAAACUGACGGUACCUGCAGAAUAAGCACCGGCUAACUACGUGCCAGCAGCCGCGGUAAUACGUAGGGUGCAAGCGUUAAUCGGAAUUACUGGGCGUAAAGCGUGCGCAGGCGGUUCGGAAAGAAAGAUGUGAAAUCCCAGAGCUCAACUUUGGAACUGCAUUUUUAACUACCGGGCUAGAGUGUGUCAGAGGGAGGUGGAAUUCCGCGUGUAGCAGGGAAAUGCGUGGGUAUGCGGAGGAACACCGAUGGCGAAGGCAGCCUCCUGGGAUAACACUGACGCUCAUGCACGAAAGCGUGGGGAGCAAACAGG